UGGAACUGAUCAAAUUCGGAUCCUAUAUAUACUUUUCGAAUCGAAAUCUGGAUAUGAGUGGAUCCAUACCCAAUCCGAAAAAUUAUCAGUCCUAAGCAUGGCCACUUGCCCAGACUUAGAACGGCCUAGACACUAGGCUUAAAUUUUCCAGCCCUAAGUUCAAAUUUAGAUGCCUAUGCCGUGCCAACAUUGGCCCUGGCUCAACCCUUGUCCCUAAAUGGCAGCGCAGGGCUAGGCCGAAAACAAAUGAAAAAAGAACAGAAAAAAAGACAAGAAAAAAAAAAAAGGGCCGCACCAGGUUGGCAUUGGCCCUAACCCAGCCCUUAGGUCGCUGUACCUUUUUAGAGCCGGUGGGGUCAGUCGGCCCGGCCCAUUACCAGCCCUAGAGCUAAAUGACGACACAUUGCCACCCUCCUAAACCCGUGUGGAGCCUCUCUUUAACCGUUUUCCCAGUCAAAUCAUGAAAUCCCUCUCUUUAGUCUUCGGUGGGUCAAAAUUAUGAAGUUAGAUUCUCAUACGUUGAGUUUGAAAGGUAUCUCCCUCACUUGUGAUAUGCAUAAUGAACACGUCAAAUCGUCAGUUUCUAGAAAUAUGCUCUCCUUUGUCAUUAAAUCAAUUUCAGCCGUCUGAUUUCAAAUCUCACAACUAGUUGGUAUAAUGAUCUUUUGUAUCAAAGAUACAUAGUCUUAAUAUAUAUACUCCCAUCGUAAAAGGUUAGCCGUUAGGUCAAUAACCGAUGCUUUAGAGAUCAAGACUACCAAAGUAAAAAAAACGGUCAUUUAUAUAGGGAAAAAGUUCAUAUAAAUUAGGGCGCACUUUAAAAAUUUGACAAAAAGAGCUUAUUUUGAUGCCCAAAUAUCUUCAAAUUGAUCAUCUCGACCUCAAGAUGCAUAAAUAAGAAAAAGAAAUAGAUUUUUAGGUUUGGAAAUAGUGUAUCUUGUAAUGCAUUUUUUUGACCGUCAAUUUUCAAGAUUUUCAUAGAUAUGCUCGAUCUACACUAUUUUUGAAGCUUUAAAUUUUAUAAUUAGAGAUGAAAGUAUAUUUUAAAGCUAUAACAAAGAUUUCAAAUAACGAAACUAUAUUUCUCGAUUCUAUUUGAAGGUGUGCUUUUCUUUAAUUGUUUAAAGCCUCGACUCUAUACAAACUGCCCUUUACAUAUAACCACAUAGCACUAUUGUUUGUUAUCUAAUGGGUCUCAUACAUACAAAUCGAACUUGAGGGGUAUUAUUGCAAUCAUGAAUACGUUAACCAUUCAAGUCCGAUCCCGAAUAGUGAGCAGCUCUUAUUAGAUUCGGAGAUGCGGCUCCUAAAAAAUUUUCCUCAAUAAAUAAAAAAAAAAAAAGAAAAAAAAAUAGGAUUAGCUAGGAGCUAAAAAAACGCCUCAAGUCCAUUGUCACCCGGAAAUGAGAUUUGCCUCCUCUUUCUGGAAUUAAAAUCAACCAUACAAAAAAUUCACUAUAAGAGGUUGUUUCGAUGUCCUAAAAUCUUCAAAUCAAUCAUCUCGACCUCAAGUUGCACGAACAUGAGAAACAAAUAGAUUUCAAGUCUUGAAAGUAGCGCAUAUUGUAAUGCAUCUUUUAGGCUGUUAGUU
RNAcentral lists this long non-coding RNA (1591 nucleotides) under Amborella trichopoda. RNAcentral's name for it is "long non-coding RNA (ATRI_LNC005429)". Lineage: Eukaryota; Viridiplantae; Streptophyta; Magnoliopsida; Amborellales; Amborellaceae. The record is from RNAcentral.